This is a long non-coding RNA of Dreissena polymorpha, 2391 nucleotides long. RefSeq lists it as uncharacterized. The record is from RefSeq and is a predicted model, not a curated record. NCBI's taxonomy places the organism in Eukaryota, Metazoa, Mollusca, Bivalvia, Myida, Dreissenidae. The transcript is spliced from 3 exons.
AAACUGGGUGUUUCAUCUGGGACUUUCACAUCGACACUGGCUCUUCUUCGUGACCUUCAGCACAGAAAAAGAAAAGCUAUAGCUGUUACUCGUGCAGCAAAACAGCGACGCAUAAGACUCAAACUGAAACGGCAUUCAAGGGACAUAGUGCAAGAAGAACGAGAGGGACCAACGUGCAGCUCAAACAUAAAGGACCAAGAUGUUGAAGUAACAACUAUAUCUCCACCUGUACCAAGCCUGGUCCAGCAGGACUAGACACUUCUGGGAAGGAAUUUGUUUUCUUUGAUUUGGAAACAACAGGGUUAGAUAGCUGCAGAACAUACAACUGGUCAGUUUUCGACAUAUGUGAUGCCAGAGAAGAUGUCCUUAAAAGCGUCAGAAAUAACUGGAGUGACAGUUGUUGGCGAGUCUAUGCUUAUCAAAGGACAACAGUAACAACUGUCCCAAUCAAAUCUGCAUUAAAAAGUUUUAUAACAUUCUUACAGAAAUGUUCGCCAGUUAUUUUAGUAGGGCAUAAUAUAGAGUAUUUUGAUUGUAAAGUAUUGCUCCAUGCUAUCCAUAAUUGUGGAAAAAGGUUUGAUUUUCAGCAAAAGAUUUAUAUUUUCAGCCUUCAGAGGCUGGUAGCGGUAUUGUGUUUUUAUUAUUUUUUAAGAAACCUUGUGUGUUUAUGUUGGUUUGUAGUGUGCUGUAUUGUGCUGUUUUGUACUGUUUGGGCAAUCGGUCACUUGCCUUAAAUAAAGGACCAACUAAUUGUUUUUAAUGAAAAUUCAAUACUGCUCCAGCAGCUGGAGUUUCACUUCUUUAUAUUUUUAGAUACUUAUACAAUGUUAAAUAACGUAUUACCAAAUAUGAAAUCAUAAAAGCAGGAACAUUUAGUUAAAGAUGUCAUUGGUAAAUCAUACAUCGCAUAUGGCGCUCUACAUGAUGUUUUAGCUUUACAAAAGUUAGUGAACUAUGUUGCUCUUGACCAGAAUAUUGUAAACAAAUAUUCAUUCAGCUAUGACCGAGCAGUAUUAGCAUAUAAUGUGUCACGAAAUGUUGCUUUCAACAUAAAAUAUUUGCAAACAAUCAUUGAUAAAAAAGUUAUAAGUCAAGGUGUUGCAAGGAAAGUUGCAGGAAGUGGAUUGCAACUUACAAAUUUGAGUACUGUGUCAAUAACAAAUGGACUGAGUGGUUUAAGGAGCCUCCUGUCAGAGGUUACAAACGGACAAAUAAGAGUCACACAAUCAGAAAAAAAUAAUAUGUGUAACAGCGAGUUAUUUGUUGUCUGACAUCUAACCAAUUGAAAUUGUUAUCUUGUACAUAGAUUAGCUAUGAAAUCUAAUAGCUGUUCUAUAAAUUGUUUUGCUUCUCAAUGACAAACAAAGUUGUGAUUCUUAUGUCAGUUGUAUUUUCAUGUUUCACCUAAGUUGUAAGAUAUUUUUGACAAUGCAUUAAACCACAGAUGGUUAAACAGUAUGAAACAUAAUAGUGCCACUAAUUGUAAUCUAUGUUGCUUUUUUGUAGAUGUACUAAUCUGAUAAAAAGUAUUUGCGAAGUCGGAAUUAUGAUAGUCGUUGCGUACAUUAGUAGUUGUUGUGUACAUGUAUAUCCUAUAUAUGGACAACAACACAUUUUUGUUACUGAAUGGCAAACAUGGCUUUGCUUAAUGUGUGUGAUUUGUUUCACAUAUUUUACAGUAUUCUAUGUCCGAAUAAAAGUGAAAUAAUCAUUAUCUUGAAUUUCAUAAAUUAUAAUUUGGCAAAGCUAUCUGGUUGUUUAAGCAAACACUGAAAAAUUAACUUCAGAUGGCCCCAAAAAAGACAAAUGUAUUUGUCAUGUGUUCAGCUUUUGACAUCCUAAAGGAAGCCUUAUUAUAAAUGUGAACAACAUAAAAUAUGAACAAUACCUUUUUUCAUUGACAUUCUUUUUGCAGUAUCUGUAACAAUGCCGUUCACUAAACAAUAGUGUAUCACAGCACAAAGCAGUACUUUUUGAAAUCUGUAAUAUAUUUAUUGAUGUCUGGUUUUCUUUUAAAACACAUCACAAAGUUCUAAAAUAAUAAAUUUAAAAUUACAUAUGUUAACUUGACAACCCACAACAUGGGUAGCAGUUGGGAGGGGUAAUUAAAGAUGUUUAUCUGAACAUCAACAUUGUUUUUUCAUUUGUUACAUCUAAAAUAUUUUCAUAAGUAUGUAUAUUAUAAAUAUGUCUACGUGUGUCACAUUUCAGUUGAUAAUUUGAUUUGUUAUGGAGCAGUUAUUAUAUUUAUUUGGCUUAAUUACUAUUACAAUGUUAGUUAUCAUAUUUUUGAAAUUAAGUCCAUAUUAAAAUGUCUGUAGCAAAAAAAAAAUCGACGGUGACAUAUCAAUUUCUUUACUUCAUUUUAAUGCUAAGCUAGUUUCAUUUAAU